Molecule: ribosomal RNA, 226 nt
Filed under: uncultured bacterium
Lineage: Bacteria
Description: partial 16S ribosomal RNA
Rfam family: Bacterial small subunit ribosomal RNA
Source: RNAcentral
CCUAGCCCUUCAGAGGGGGACAACAGUUGGAAACGACUGCUAAUACCGCAUACGAUCUGACCUCGGCAUCGAGGAUAGAUGAAAGGUGGCCUCUAUUUAUAAGCUAUCACUGAAGGAGGGGAUUGCGUCUGAUUAGCUAGUUGGAGGGGUAACGGCCCACCAAGGCGAUGAUCAGUAGCCGGUCUGAGAGGAUGAACGGCCACAUUGGGACUGGGACACGGCCCAG